This 427-nucleotide ribosomal RNA is filed under the name uncultured bacterium. RNAcentral's name for it is "partial 16S ribosomal RNA". It matches the Rfam family "Bacterial small subunit ribosomal RNA", at positions 355 to 774 of the family's 1533-position model. The record is from RNAcentral.
UGGGGAAUAUUGGACAAUGGGCGAAAGCCUGAUCCAGCCAUGCCGCGUGUGUGAAGAAGGUCUUCGGAUUGUAAAGCACUUUAAGUUGGGAGGAAGGGCAUUAACCUAAUACGUUAGUGUUUUGACGUUACCGACAGAAUAAGCACCGGCUAACUCUGUGCCAGCAGCCGCGGUAAUACAGAGGGUGCAAGCGUUAACCGGACUUACUGGGCGUAAAGCGCGCGUAGGUGGUUUGUUAAGUUGGAUGUGAAAUCCCCGGGCUCAACCUGGGAACUGCAUUCAAAACUGACUGACUAGAGUAUGGUAGAGGGUGGUGGAAUUUCCUGUGUAGCGGUGAAAUGCGUAGAUAUAGGAAGGAACACCAGUGGCGAAGGCGACCACCUGGACUAAUACUGACACUGAGGUGCGAAAGCGUGGGGAGCAAACA